Molecule: small RNA, 127 nt
Filed under: Marmota monax (woodchuck)
Lineage: Eukaryota; Metazoa; Chordata; Mammalia; Rodentia; Sciuridae
Source: RNAcentral
GCUGGGUGUGGUGGUGCAUGCCUGUAAUCCCAGCAGCUUGGGAGGCUGAGGCAGGAGGAUGGCGAGUUCAAAACCAGCCUCAGCAAUUUAGCGAGGCACUAAGCAACUCAGUGAGACCCUGUCUCUA